RNAcentral lists this ribosomal RNA (694 nucleotides) under uncultured bacterium. RNAcentral's name for it is "bacterial SSU rRNA". It matches the Rfam family "Bacterial small subunit ribosomal RNA", at positions 32 to 715 of the family's 1533-position model. The record is from RNAcentral.
AACGCUAGCUACAGGCUUAACACAUGCAAGUCGCGGGGCAUCAUGAAUUUAGCUUGCUAAGUUUGAUGGCGACCGGCGCACGGGUGAGUAACGCGUAUCCAACCUUCCUCUCUCCACGGGAUAGCCCGUCGAAAGGCGGAUUAAUACCGUAUGCGGUCACCAGAUGGCAUCAGAAAGUGACGAAAGGUUUGGCGGAGGGAGAUGGGGAUGCGUCCGAUUAGCUUGUUGGCGGGGUAACGGCCCACCAAGGCGACGAUCGGUAGGGGUUCUGAGAGGAAGGUCCCCCACAUUGGAACCGAGACACGGUCCAAACUCCUACGGGAGGCAGCAGUGAGGAAUAUUGGUCAAUGGACGGAAGUCUGAACCAGCCAAGUAGCGUGCAGGAUGACGGCCCUAUGGGUUGUAAACUGCUUUUAUGCGGGGAUAAAGUGGGCUACGUGUAGCCUAUUGCAGGUACCGCAUGAAUAAGGACCGGCUAAUUCCGUGCCAGCAGCCGCGGUAAUACGGAAGGUCCGGGCGUUAUCCGGAUUUAUUGGGUUUAAAGGGAGCGUAGGCCGCCUAUUAAGCGUGUUGUGAAAUGUCCUGGCUCAACCUGGGCACUGCAGCGCGAACUGGAGGCCUUGAGUGCGCACGACGGCGGCGGAAUUCGUGGUGUAGCGGUGAAAUGCUUAGAUAUCACGAAGAACUCCGAUUG